UACGUAGGGUGCGAGCGUUGUCCGGAAUUAUUGGGCGUAAAGGGCUCGUAGGCGGUUUGUCGCGUCGGGAGUGAAAUCCACUGGCUUAACUGGUGGCUUGCUUUCGAUACGGGCAUGACUGGAGUUCGGCAGGGGAGACUGGAAUUCCUGGUGUAGCGGUGAAAUGCGCAGAUAUCAGGAGGAACACCGGUGGCGAAGGCGGGUCUCUGGGCCGAUACUGACGCUGAGGAGCGAAAGCGUGGGGAGCGAACAGG
RNAcentral lists this ribosomal RNA (254 nucleotides) under uncultured bacterium. RNAcentral's name for it is "partial 16S ribosomal RNA". It matches the Rfam family "Bacterial small subunit ribosomal RNA", at positions 524 to 776 of the family's 1533-position model. The record is from RNAcentral.